UCUCUCACUCUCCUCCAGAACUCCAAACACCAGCGUCUCACCACUUCAGAAACUGCGGGAAUGCGAAGAUGAGAGCUCCUACUCUUGCUUCCAAGUUCAGCAGUGGCUUGUUACUAGCGAACUGCAGAAGCCACGGUCGACCCGUUGCCUUAUUGCGGAACCCAGCGCCGUCGCCAGCUCGCCUCGUCGCGACUCCUUUGCGUUCAAGAACUGUAAAGACCGCGGCUUUCGAGUGUGACUUCUCCAAAUCAGACGCUGCCGGCGCUCCUUCGCCCAUUUCGGUUAAUGGCUUGCCGGAGUACAAUCGGUUAUUACCUUGCCCUUCACAUAGUGGUCCUCCAAGAAUCGAGCACUUGGUUGUACCCAAAGAAGAAGAAGGACCUGUUUUAGAUUACAUCUGUAAAGCUCUGGAUCUUCCUCCAUUGUUUGUUGCAGAUCUUAUCCACUUUGGAGCUGUACAUUAUGCACUGGUUACCCCACAACCUCCACCAACUGCGACUCCAGAGCAGAUCAGAGUAUUUAAGGAAGUCACAAAGCCAUCGGUUUUGAGAAAGAGAGCAUCUAUCAAAGGGAAGACUGUAAGAGAAGCACAGAAGACAUUCCGGAUAACUGACCCUGGGCAAUUUGUUGAAGCAGGAAUGUACUUGCGUGUUCAUGUUCACCCUAAGCGAUUUCCAAGGUGCUAUGAGAUUGAUUGGAAAUCAAGAAUCAUUGCUGUAGCUGAAUCCUAUGUAGUUUUGGACAAACCUGCUGGUACAUCUGUUGGAGGAACCACGGAUAACAUUGAAGAGACUUGUGCAACUUUUGCUACUCGUGCUUUAGGAUUAGUUGAACCACUUAAAACUACUCAUCAGAUUGAUAAUUGCUCAGAAGGAUGUGUUGUGUUAGCCAGGACAAAGGAGUACUGCUCGGUUUUUCAUGGUAAAAUCAGAGAAAAAAAGGUGAAGAAGCUUUAUCAUGCUCUUGCUGUUGCACCUGUGCCCCUUGGAAUAAUUACACACUACAUGCGCCCAGUCAACAUGGCUCCAAGGCUUGUUACUGAAGAGUUCAUAAAAGGAUGGUAUCUCUGCCAACUUGAGGUCAUGGAAUGCAAGGAAGUUGCCUGGCCAGACUCUGUUGUUGAAUCUGAGUAUUGUGUUGAAGACUGCGGGUGGACCAAGAAGGAUGUUGCCUACGAAUGCAAAAUUAACCUCCUGACCGGUCGUACUCAUCAGAUUCGUGCCCAGUUGGCUGCUUGUGGUGCACCAAUUGUGGGUGAUUCUGCAUACAUGCCAGCUGCAAUUGCAGAGAUGGUUAAUCCUGGUAUCAACCCACUUGGCAAAUUUAAGAAACUAUAUGCUAGUGAGGAUGACAAGGCAGUUGCUAUAGCGGAGUGGAUUGCGCAGCAUGGGAAGGAGCCAACUUUAGCAAUUGGUCUUCAAGCGUGCCAAAUUUCAUGGGACGAUGGGGAACAUGUUUAUGAGGCUAGAGAUCCCUGGUGGCGAUGAAGAUAGCUUCUCACUGCCCCUUCUUAGUAAGAAUCAGUGAGGAUGCUUAUAUGCCUUAGUUCAGGACCAUUAAAAAUUUGCGUGUGAUAAGAUCAUGUUAUGAGCUACUAUGAAGGGCUCCAUCUCCGAAUCUCCAAGGGUGCAGUUUCCAAAUGGAGCAGAGCAGCGGGCAGGUGGAAAUUCACCCCAGCGGUAUGCCAAUGUUGCUUGGAUAUUCGGCUCAUUGAAGGUGACCCAAUACUUUACCCGGUCUCCAAAGUACCUAAAGCAAAUAUCUGCAAAAUAUCCAAAAUCCUCCCUACAAAAAGAAAAAAAACAAGUGGAUCCACUGUAGUUUCUGAAGAAUUUUCCUUUUGAAAAAUUUCCAUACUGUUCUACAUUGUUAUUCACGGAGCUUAAUGGACGUUAGGACAACAUACUGUGAUUUUGGACUGAGCCAGCCUCCGUAUCUAUCCUCAAGUUCUUGUGGUAUGUCAAAGUGAGUCAAUGUUACAAAGGGUUGUAUUCCUGUAACGUUAGAGAAGAAGAUUGUUAUUUGCAGAUGAUGAAGAUUAUCAUCAGUUGGUUUUGUGUGGGAUUGAUGCGAAGAAAGGAAGUGUACCCUUUUGAAGGAGACUAUUGAUGAGUCUGUUAUAGUAGUGUAUUCCA
RNA transcript from Eucalyptus grandis, 2135 nucleotides. It is a transcript of the gene named RNA pseudouridine synthase 6, chloroplastic, with no coding region annotated. NCBI's taxonomy places the organism in Eukaryota, Viridiplantae, Streptophyta, Magnoliopsida, Myrtales, Myrtaceae. The transcript is spliced from 10 exons. The record is from RefSeq and is a predicted model, not a curated record.